AGCCAGGCGUGGUGGCGGGCGCCUGUAGUCCCAGCUACUCAGGAGGCUGAGGCAGGAGAAUGGCGUGAACCCGGGAGGCGGAGCUUGCAGUGAGCCGAGAUUGCGUCACCGCACUCCAGCCUGGGCGACAGAGCGAGACUCCGUCUCAAAAAAAAUGACUGGACAAAAAACACUCUGAUGCAAACAGGCAAGAAACCCAGCAAGGCCUAUCUGGAUUCUCCUUGGCCUGUCUGCAGCAUUCAUUCCUUCUGGGUAUGGAACAGGACCCUCUGGAAUGGGGGCUGUGGCCUACAACAGUUAAACAAGAAAUCUCUCUCUGGGAACAGUGUGGAAGAUGGAUUGAAAUGGUGUAAAAUUGAAGAUGUGGACUCCGGUUGGGAGACUACACCCUAGAUAAGAUGAAGAGAACUUGAAGCAAGACAAUAGCAAUGGGAAUAUAAAGGAGAGGAGACAUUUGAGUGAAAUUAAGGAAGCACAAUCUGCAGACUGUUUUCUUUUUUUUAAGAGUCAGGGUCUCCCUAUUUUGCCCAGGCUGGUCUCAAAGUCCUAGGCUCAAGCGACCCACCCACCUCAGCCUUCCAAAAUGCUGGAAUUACAGGGGUGAACUGCCUCACCAUGCCUCAGUCUGCAGAAUUUGAUGACUGAAUGUAUUUGGAGAGAGUCUGUGGCUUGGAUGACUGGGUGAGUGGAUUGUGAUGCCGUUCAUGGAAAUGAAGAAGGCAGAGGAAGGGAGAGCAAGAGGGUGGAAGUGGGGCAGUGGGGUGCUGGUGGGCCAUCCAAGGGACACCAGCUGUUGAAUAUGUUGCAUCUGUAAAGAUACAGAUUGAUCAUUCAGAAAUAAAGAAGAGAAAAAAAGCAAAAGCAAAAAAAGUUUUAAAAUAAAAAAGAAUACAGAUUGAGAGAGUC
Homo sapiens (human) is the source of this 906-nucleotide long non-coding RNA. NCBI's taxonomy places the organism in Eukaryota, Metazoa, Chordata, Mammalia, Primates, Hominidae. The record is from Ensembl.